GUCUUUUUAUUGUCUCAACUAACUCUGUCAAACAAACAAGCGUAAACAUCAAGGCCUUGCGACCUUGUGCUAAUGUUGUGAGAUGCUACGCACAGUUACGCACGCAGCACUCGCAAAAGAUUUGUAAUGAUCCUUCCGCAGGUUCACCUACGGAAA
Molecule: unclassified non-coding RNA, 156 nt
Filed under: uncultured fungus
Lineage: Eukaryota; Fungi
Description: sequence contains ITS1
Source: RNAcentral